GUGUGCUUUUAAAGGAGAGAUGGUCAGCAUCUUCCCUGAUAGGGAUAGGAAUAGCUUUCAAGCUUUCUUGUUAUCACACAUAUGGUUAAAGCUAUUCAUGUUGAUGGAUCUCUAACCCAAUUUUUUA
Small nuclear RNA from Prosopis cineraria, 127 nucleotides. NCBI's taxonomy places the organism in Eukaryota, Viridiplantae, Streptophyta, Magnoliopsida, Fabales, Fabaceae. The record is from RefSeq and is a predicted model, not a curated record.